Molecule: non-coding RNA, 50 nt
Filed under: fish gut metagenome
Source: RNAcentral
AAAUGUGGAUAGAUUUGCCCGAUUGCAACCACUGAAAAAAAUGCUAAAGA